AAAAUAAUAAAAUAAAAUAAAAAAGGAAACGUGAAAAAUAAGUAAAAGCAUGUGCAGAUAGAGGGAAAAGGUAAGAAAUCAAAUACAUUAAACAUUUAUAAUUAAUAAGAACUCUAGCCGUUCACAUAUCCAUAUUGCAUCAGAAUAAUACACAACAAGAACUCAUAGAAACCUGAAGGGGAAUUUUAUGAGCAUUUAAAAAACUGAUAAAGAAAUGAAUUUCAUAGUGAAUCUUACUCAAUUUGAUACCCAAAGUAUCAUUCA
Molecule: unclassified non-coding RNA, 264 nt
Filed under: Hevea brasiliensis (rubber tree)
Lineage: Eukaryota; Viridiplantae; Streptophyta; Magnoliopsida; Malpighiales; Euphorbiaceae
Source: RNAcentral